UGGAAUCCCUCCACACAUAGAUAGAAGCUAUGCACUAGAUACAUUAUCCCCGUUCCGCCCCCUGGUCGGUCCGCCAUCCCGCACCCCCAGUGACCCAACUAGAGAACGAUGUUCUUCCCCGCCUAAAUGACCGAACCCACCAUUGUCUCUUCAAUUUGAGUUGCCAGAGUAUUCACUUAAUAGGCCUUAUCAUCUUCGGCAGAGGGAACAACGUAGUAGAGGUACUCGCGGCCGCCAGUAACUUCACCCUUGGGAACGAGUUUGCCAGCAGGCUUCUGCAAUAGCUAUCAGCAGUUGUUCGACAACAUCAAAAUCCAAGCCACUGUACUUACGUCAGCGGGUGCGGCAGAGACGAGAGCAGCCGCGAUGAGGAGAGCGAAAGAAUAGAAGGCCUUCAUUUUGAGGUUGGUAGAAUUGUUGUUUUGGAGUUUUUCUUGAUGAAGAAAGGAUUCUUGACGUUGAUGCUUGGAUUUUCUAAUGGAAUCCUGCUGAUGCCGUUUCGAAGUCAGCAAGUUUCUUUAUCGUGGAACCCGGAUUUAUGCUCAGAAAACCGAUUCUUUCCCCAGAUAUUGGGUUACAUUUAAAAACGAAACGCCUUUCCUUAGUAUUUAUGGCGUUAUGACAACUCUCAGACGCAAUCUGUGGGAAGCUGCAGCUAGAUAACGAAAGCCGCGGAUAUCUUGAGCGGGGUUGUUGUCUCCCUGCCUCAGGAGUCGAAUUCCCACUUGGAGUCGGAGGAGGACGACUUUGCGAAGACAUUCUGUGAUAGCCAUUGUAUCCAAAGACCAGAGGCUACACAGAAUGGUGAGUCUGAGCACUUCAGACAUGGGUUCACGUUUGGAUGAAGAAGAGAAUCUCUCUCUUUUGAAAGAAACUGAACACAAAAUUCCUAACCGACAACUUUUCCGGAGUUUGAAUCAUUUUGUUGUCUCAAUUGUGUUGGGUAUCUCUGUGUUUUGCAAUUUCAUACUUCUUGCAGAACAGUUCAAACCCCGAAAUCUGGAUAAAAUAUGCAGCAGACACACCACUCAAUAUUCUUCGCCUGUUUUGAAGGAUGUUGAUAUAACGUAUGAACCUGUCCUCUUCAAUGGCUCUUUCACGAAAGCAACGAUUUACCGACAACCACCAGGGCCACUGGUCGAUGAAGCAUGGCUCGCUCUCGGCACGCGUUUCGCGUCAGUGCUUGUUCCGGAGGAUGAAGCAGAAAAAUACGGAAUUAAACAAGGGCAGGUGAAACGAAUGAAAGAACAAGGUGGAGGCUUUUUCGCGCAUAUUGGGGUUUUUCAUCAUCUCCAUUGUGUGAAUUUGCUCCGUCAAACCUCACAUUUCAAUUUCGAAUAUUAUUCGAAGUUAGGGGGAGGGCCCUUUUUGGAUCCAGAGGAGAGGCUUAAAACACAUAUCGGACAUUGUAUCGACAUGCUUCGUCAGUAUGUUAUGUGUACGGCAGAUGUAGGGCUGUUGCCACAAUGGUGGGUGAAACAUGUUGGACCAUUUGCUGAUUUCAAUACUGUCCACAAAUGUCGAAACUUUGAGGCAAUCAGAAAGUGGACAGAGAAACAUCAGAGCUCCCGUGAAAAUGACAA
Molecule: small RNA, 1583 nt
Filed under: Histoplasma capsulatum
Lineage: Eukaryota; Fungi; Ascomycota; Eurotiomycetes; Onygenales; Ajellomycetaceae
Also listed under: 1 other name
Description: hypothetical RNA
Source: RNAcentral